UUAAAAGAAGCCAAAGGGGAGGCAUGUCACUGUUAAUGACAAUUAGAUUUUAUUUAAAGAAUCCUUUUAAA
RNAcentral lists this transfer RNA (71 nucleotides) under Isotomurus maculatus. RNAcentral describes it as "tRNA-Asn". Lineage: Eukaryota; Metazoa; Arthropoda; Collembola; Entomobryomorpha; Isotomidae. The record is from RNAcentral.